This 497-nucleotide ribosomal RNA is filed under the name uncultured bacterium. RNAcentral describes it as "partial 16S ribosomal RNA". It matches the Rfam family "Bacterial small subunit ribosomal RNA", at positions 28 to 507 of the family's 1533-position model. The record is from RNAcentral.
GAUGAACGCUGGCGGCGUGCCUAAUACAUGCAAGUCGAGCGAACGGACGAGAAGCUUGCUUCUCUGAUGUUAGCGGCGGACGGGUGAGUAACACGUGGAUAACCUACCUAUAAGACUGGGAUAACUUCGGGAAACCGGAGCUAAUACCGGAUAAUAUUUUGAACCGCAUGGUUCAAAAGUGAAAGACGGUCUUGCUGUCACUUAUAGAUGGAUCCGCGCUGCAUUAGCUAGUUGGUAAGGUAACGGCUUACCAAGGCAACGAUGCAUAGCCGACCUGAGAGGGUGAUAGGCCACACUGGAACUGGGACACGGUCCAGACUCCUACGGGAGGCAGCAGUAGGGAAUCUUCCGCAAUGGGCGAAAGCCUGACGGAGCGACGCCGCGUGAGUGAUGAAGGUCUUCGGAUCGUAAAACUCUGUUAUUAGGGAAAAACAUAUGUGUAAGUAACUGUGCACAUCUUGACGGUACCUAAUCAGAAAGCCACGGCUAACUACGUG